Molecule: ribosomal RNA, 491 nt
Filed under: uncultured Alphaproteobacteria bacterium
Lineage: Bacteria; Pseudomonadati; Pseudomonadota; Alphaproteobacteria
Description: bacterial SSU rRNA
Rfam family: Bacterial small subunit ribosomal RNA
Source: RNAcentral
GGCGGCAGGCUUAACACAUGCAAGUCGAGCGCUCGUAGCAAUACGAGAGCGGCAGACGGGAGAGUAACACGUGGGAACGUACCCUUCGGUUCGGAAUAACCCAGGGAAACUUGGGCUAAUACCGGAUACGUCCGUAAGGAGAAAGAUUUAUCGCCGAGGGAUCGGCCCGCGUCCGAUUAGCUAGUUGGUGGGGUAAUGGCCCACCAAGGCGACGAUCGGUAGCUGGUCUGAGAGGAUGAUCAGCCUCACUGGGACUGAGACACGGCCCAGACUCCUACGGGAGGCAGCAGUGGGGAAUAUUGGACAAUGGGCGCAAGCCUGAUCCAGCCAUGCCGCGUGGGUGAUGAAGGCCUUAGGGUUGUAAAGCCCUUUCGGCGGGGAAGAUAAUGACGGUACCCGCAGAAGAAGCCCCGGCUAACUUCGUGCCAGCAGCCGCGGUAAUACGAAGGGGGCUAGCGUUGCUCGGAAUCACUGGGCGUAAAGCGCACGUA